RNAcentral lists this long non-coding RNA (608 nucleotides) under Androctonus crassicauda. Lineage: Eukaryota; Metazoa; Arthropoda; Arachnida; Scorpiones; Buthidae. The record is from RNAcentral.
AUUUAGUCGCUACUUUCAUCUCAGAACUCAACUCGCUAAUUUUAACGCGCAGUAAAUCGCUGUCGCUGGCUAUGUGAAACCGCCUUUAGGCAGGGUCUGACGUCGCGCGAGGAGACAAACAGUACAGUAAUAAAUACAAAAACAUUUGCUAGCAUGUUUACAACAUAGCUUGUGGUGCAGAGUAUAAUGCCGGAAAGGGGACGAUGAGGAAUUAUUAUAGUUGUUCCAAUUGGGGCUGCGGACGUCACUGCAUAGACCACAGCGACGGAGAAGCGAUUGUCGAACGCGCUCGACGUCAAACCCUGCAUACUCGCACGGGAUCUGACAAUGCGAUAGCGUGUUCCAUGGAAAUUUUGGUUCCUCUUACGCCUACUGUUGCUCCUCUGAGUUUGUCGCCGCUUCAACAGAACACACUGUAUAUCGAUAUAUACGUACAUUACUUUACAAUCAAAUAUUGUCUUGCAGUAGUAUAAUUUUACUUCAUACACAUCAAGUACAGUAUAUAGUUUAUUUUUACAGGAUUCACCCAGUUUGUUUUAUGUAUAAAAUCUGUUAAAUUAUGCAUCCUUCUCCUAAGACUUUUUAAAAACAACUAAACUAAUAGCGUC